Molecule: ribosomal RNA, 4863 nt
Filed under: Triticum aestivum (bread wheat)
Lineage: Eukaryota; Viridiplantae; Streptophyta; Magnoliopsida; Poales; Poaceae
Description: partial small subunit ribosomal RNA
Source: RNAcentral
AUGCGCGGCGGUGAGCGGCUUCUCGUCCGGCACAUGUGGCCGGCAGCUCGCGUAGAGGCAGCAGCUCCAGCACCGGCGCACGGACCUUCUCCUCCUACUCCUCCUUCCGGCUCGUGUGCCCUUCCACCGCCGACAGCCUCCCACCCACCGGUGCCGGCGACUCCCCCAGCCACGCCGCGGAAGCAGCAGCAGCAGCAGCAGGUCGUCCGUUCUCCCCCGCCGGUGUCACCUGACUUCUUCGUAAAGGACGGACGGGAGAUUCGAGUUGGCGACUGUGCUCUUUUUCGUGCUAUUGAUGUUCCUCCUUUCGUUGGAUUGAUACGUUGGAUUGAGAAGCAGGAAGAAAGCAAUCCCAAGUUACGUGUAAGUUGGCUAUAUAGACCUGCUGACGUCAGGCUCAACAAGGGGAUACAACUGAACGCUGCCCCAAACGAGGUCUUCUACUCUUUCCACCAAGACGAGACAUCUGCUGUUUCACUGCUCCAUCCUUGUAAAGUUGCCUUUUUACAUAAAGGUGCUGAGCUGUCAUCUGGGAUUUCUUCAUUUGUAUGUCGGCGUGUGUAUGAUAUUGACAACAAGUGUUUAUGGUGGCUUACCGACAGAGAUUAUAUUAAUGAAGAAGUAAAUCGGCUCCUAGACAGAACGAGGCUAGAAAUGCAUGGUGCAGUGCGGUCAGGUGGGCACUCACCAAAACGGCCAAAUGUUCUGUCAGCUUCCCAGCAAUUGAAGGCUUGUUCAGACGGUGCUCAAAAUUGUGGCCCAUCUAAAGGGAAGAAGAGGGACAGAGGUGAGCAAGGAAUUGAACCAGCUAAGCGAGAUAGUGAUUGUCCUCCUAAGGUUGAUGACGGUGAACCUGGAAAUGUUAAGGGGGACAAUAUGAAGUCUGAAAUUGCAGAGAUGACAGAAAAGGAUGGACUUCCUCAUGCUGAAGCUGUCGACAAGCUAGUUCAAUUCAUGCAACUUGAUCAAAUUGAGCGGAAAAUGGACCUUGCCGGCCGAGUAAGGCUUGCUGAUAUUAUUGCAGCCACAGAAAGUCCUGAUUGCCUUAGCAGAUUUAUGCAACUAAGGGGCCUUCCGGUCUUGAAUGAUUGGCUUCAAGAAACUCACAAAGGGAAGUCUGGUGAAGGGGGUAGUCCUAAAGAAACUGAUAAGCCUACUGAAGAACUUAUCCUGGCCCUGCUUCGUGCACUAGCGAAAUUGCCUAUCAGUCUGAUUGCCUUACAAAGCUGCAGUAUUGGGAAAUCUGUCAAUCAUCUGCGCAGCUAUAAAAAUCCGGAGAUACAGAGGAAGGCUAGGUAUCUUGUUGAUAGCUGGAAGAAGCGUGUUGAUGCUGAAAUGAAGUCGUCUGAUGCAAAACCUGUAGUGUCAGGUCAAGCUGUUUCCUGGUCAGGAAAAGUGGGGUUCCCGGAAAUUUCUAGUGCUGGAAUAGGACGAAGUGACUCAAGUGAGCCCAGUCCGAAAAGUGCAGGGUUUCAUCUUUCUUCACCAAAGGCUUUGAGUGCUACAUCUGGUGCUGCUGAUGCUGUUGCAAAGUCAAAUCCUUUCACAUCUGGCUCUUCAAAAUUACAACACAUGCAACCAGCAAAUGCUGCAGCCAACUUAAAGGACUCACCAUGCAAAUCAGCUGCUGGGACUUGUGGCCCUGAUUUUCCUACAGUGAAAGAGGAGAAAAGUUGCAGUUCAAGCCACUCAUUGAAUAACAGCCAGUCAUGCUCUAGUGAUCCUGGAAAAACAGUUGGUUCUUUGAAGGAGGAUGCACGGAGCUCAACUGCUGUUUCAGCGAGUGCCAGUAAAAUUUCUGCACGUGGCCAUCGAAGGGCAAACAAUGGGCUUCUUGGUUCUGGAUUCCAGAAGGAAGCUGCUUUGGGAAGGUCCAGCCAAGGUGAUCGUACUUUAUUGCAAGAAAGAUCAUCACAGUCUGGCUUGGCAUGUGAGAAAGGAGCGGACACACCUCACAUCAACAAUCAGAGAUUGAUUGUUCGGUUUCCAAAACCAAGUUGUAGCCCUGCUAGGAGCACAAGUGGGGGCUCUUGUGAGGAGCCAUCAGUUUCAGGGAGUAGAGCUUCAUCUCCUGUUCACGCAGAUAAGCAUGAACAGAAUGAUCGUAGGGUGAAAAUGAAGGUUGAAAAUUCUCAGGCUCAUUUAGGUUCUGAUGCUAAUGCUCAGCCUGAGCGAAGCAAUGAUACUAAAAGAAUUGCAGGUUCCGAGGAAGGUGAUAAAUCACCUUGUGGUAUGCUGGAUGGUGACUGUAGCAGGACUGCUGAAGAAUCUGCUAAGGAUACAUGUGCAUCACGAGUUGCAUGCUCGGCAAAUAUGGAUGAAAAAGACGUCUGCUUAGGUGAAACCAGAGUGCGGAACUCGUUCAGCCCUUUGAAUGCUUUGAUUGAAAUCAAAUACGCCGAAGGUAGUCAUUCCAUGCAAGCUGGAGAUGAUACAGCAAUGAAUCUUCUUGCUAGUGUUGCUGGAGAAGUAUCUAAAUCUGAAUUGAUGUCAUCUGCUUCACCGACGAAUUCGUCUGCAAAUAAACAUGGCUAUGGAGGCCAGAAUAUUCAGAAGCUAAAAGUAGAGUGUGAUGCAGGCCCAUCACAGCACCUGGAUCCAUCAGAUGAUGUUGAGAAAGUCAUCUCUGAGAAGGAAGACAAAAAUGAUGAGGAACGACGCUUGAGGAAUUCUGGAACUUAUUUAUCAUCCCAUGACAAGAAGGGAACAUCAUCUACUAACCCGCCUCUACCUGGAAUAGAUUCUAAAGCUGUUGAAUCUUCAGUUGAUUUACUUGGUGGUGGUGAUCAGAAGCCAAAUGCCAGACAGCCAACUGAUAUUAAGAUUGAUGCAAAGUUCAAUAUCAGCAUUGCUGAUGCCGACACGGCAUCAGGCAGUCAAUGUAGUGUGGUUGCUCCAAAUAGAACAUUACUCCCCUCUGAGGAAUCGUCUUUAUGUGGUGCUGAUAAACAAGGUCAAGGUUUAUUGAAAUCAUCAGAUCAGACACAUCUUCAUGGUCUACCAGAUCGCCUCGAAACCAUCAGAUCUACUGAUAACAGUGGCACUGGCAAAUUGGAUUCAAAGACUUCAUUCUCAUCUUUGGCUGUGGAUAUAAAAAAUGCUGAUGGUCUAGUGGUUUGCAAUAAAGUGCUGAAAGAGCAUGAGAAAAAAGAACAACCUGCGUCCACUUCAGCUGAUGUUACCAAACCAGAUGUAUCAGUAGUGCCACUUGGUGCAGCGAAUGGGAUAUCUGUGAUUAAAGAAUCAAAAGACUGUUCCAGUGAAUCAAGUAGUCAAGCAAAACAUCGGACUAUCAUGUCUCAGGAUACCGAGCAUACUGCAAGGCACAGUUCAAAGAAACCGAGUGAUGAAGUGGGUGGGAAAGAGGACAUUGUCUCAUCAGAUGAGGGUUCUUCUAUGGCUAACACCAACUCAAAUGGUACAGCUAAGCUUGACUUUGAUUUGAAUGAACUUGGGGACGAGGGGAAUCACUCUGAGCCAGCUACCUCUACUGUUGUAUGUUCUUCUGCAAUUCAUUUACCUGGUCUUUCUCCAUUCGUCUCACCUAUUUUAAGUGGUCUGCCGGCCCAAAUAACAGUUGCUGCUCCAGCUAAAGGACCUUUUGUCCCUCCCGAGAACCUACUAAGAGUGAAGCCUGAGGCUGGGUGGAAAGGUGCAGCAGCUACAAGUGCAUUUCGUCCUGCGGAGCCACGGAAGACUUUAGGGAUGUUUCUAACUACACCUGGUAGUGCAGUGUCUGAUGCUGCCGGGAGGCAAUCUCGCCAAGCAUUUGACAUUGAUCUAAAUGUAGCAGAUGACCAAGUUCUAGAGGAAGAUAUCUCACAGAGUUCUGCCCGGACAAUUGGUUCUGAAUCUGACAACCCUAGAAGUCGCAGUGGCCCUGUACGAAGUGCUGGCUUUGAACUUGACUUGAAUAUGGCCGGCGAAGUUGCAGAGAAUAACCAAUUUAUCUCAAAUGCUUCACACAGAGUUGAAGUCACAUUGUUGCCAUCAAGACCGUUACCAGAAGGUUUACCUAAUACUGAUACAAGUAGCUCGAGGAACUUCUUUGAUCUCAAUAACGGACCAAGCCUUGAUGAAGCCAGUACAGAAUCUGCACAAAGGACCCUGUCAUCUAAAGGUGCUAGCAGCAUACCAUUCCUACCUCAAGUUGCUGGCCUUAGAAUGAACAAUACUGAAAUUAGUAACAUGUCACCAUGGUAUGCUUCUGCCAACCCAGGUGGUCCCGUAGCUAUGCAGUCGUUUUUUCCUCCUAGAGAACAGUCUUACCCAAUUGAAACAGCACCUGGAACCCAGAGGAUCAUUGCACCUACUGCAGACGGCGGCCAAUUUGGAAGUGGUUCAGGCAGGCCUCCAGUUAUUUCCACAUCGCCAGCCAUGGUCUUCCACCCUCCUGCAUAUCAAUAUGCAGGAUUUCCUUUUGCUCCCGGUGUUCACCUUCAGUCAGCAGGGUUUCCAAUUGGAUCGGUGCCAUAUGGCAGUUCUGCACCAGCAGGAGUUACAUAUUUUCCAACCAUUGCUCCAUCAUUUGCUGGGUCAACAGGCGCUUUACCUGCCCAGCAUGCAAGGCAGUAUGCAAUAAACCUUCCUGAAGGUAGCAGCAGUGAUGGACAUGACAGUAACUGGAAAUGGAGAAGACAAGGGCUUGAUCUUAAUUCUGGCCCUGGAAGUAUAGAUAUAGAAGGGAAAGACGAGCGAGUACCUCUAUCGCUUAGGCAAAAUUUGAUCACACCGCCACAAGCGUUUGUGGAGGAGCAAGCAAGAAUGUUACAAAUGGCGGGUGUAGGAAUAAAGAGGAAGGAACCCGAGGGCAGUUGGGAUGCUGAAAGAGCAUCAUCAUACAAACAACUAUCAUGGCAAUAA